This is an unclassified non-coding RNA of Rhinopithecus roxellana (golden snub-nosed monkey), 334 nucleotides long. Its record names the gene 7SK. It matches the Rfam family "7SK RNA". Rfam says of the family: 7SK was discovered as an abundant small nuclear RNA in the mid-70s but a possible function has only recently been suggested. NCBI's taxonomy places the organism in Eukaryota, Metazoa, Chordata, Mammalia, Primates, Cercopithecidae. The record is from Ensembl.
GGAUGUGAGGGCGAUCUGGCUGCGACAUCUGUCACCCCAUUGACAGAAUUAAUUCAGCUGAUCCAGCUGGCUAUGCGGGUGUCCUCUUCCUCCCUCCCUGCUCCAUGUGCGUCCCUCCUGAAGCUGUGCACUCAGUGGAAGAAGAUGACCAUACCUGAUAUAGGAGGACCGGUCUUCGGUCAGGGGCAUAGCAGUAGCCGCGCUCCCCUGCUAGAACCUCCAAACAAGCUCUCAAAACUACUUUUGAAUGCACAUCCACAGAACUGAAGCUGCUAGAGAUAUAGAUGCUUUGGAGAAAAAUCCAAAUUUGGAGAUGGCAUCUUUUUCUAAAAUU